GACGAGGAGAAGGAAGCUAGGCCAGAAACACACGCGAUGCAGACUUUUGCCUUGGCGUUGGAUUUUAUUCCGAGAACAGACUAAAGAGAAUAAUGUGUCCGAAGCGCUGCUCAGCCACAGCCUCCUGAGUGGCAUGGGAACAGAGCAGAGGCAUUACGGAAACCCAGUUCUUGGGCAGAGGAUCAGGAACCCAAGGGCCUCGUUGGACAUCUCCUGGCUUCUGAGCGCCCAGGGCGGCCGUCCCAGGCAGGCUGCGGUCUUCUUGGCGGACAGGCGGCCUAUGCUGCACAAGGAAGCCUCCAGGCUGAGCCCGGUGGCCGCCAAGGCUCAGUAGCAGGGCGACGACACUCCGAGAGGUCCCCAUCGUCAGACCUCUCUGGUUCCCGCGACCAGUCUUCGAAGAGGGCCGAUCGCGGCGCGUGUGGCGGCCGCGGAGCGCAGUGACCGGGCUCCUCCGACGAGGCUGCGGCCGCCACUCCUGCCUGCGCCUGGGCCUCCUCCUGGGUGGCAGGCGUGGACUCUUCGUCCGAAGGUUGUGCACGCCGCACCAGGGGAAUCCAAAGAACGCGCUCCUGUCCCGUGGGGAAGCCCCAGUACCGCUGAUUCUGGUUCUCAGAGUGGUGGCCCAGCGGUGUUGGAAGGUAACGCGCCGUCCCGCGAAUUCGAUCUUCUGGGUCUCCGGAUGGUUCCCACUGGGGCUCUCGGGCUGUCUCUCUGGAACCAAAAGCCCCCCUCACAUGGCUUCGCCAGUGCAUCGCUUCUUCCAGGGGAAGUUUACAGAGACAAGGGGAUUCAGAAGAUCAAGCUUGUGGAGCCCGCCUCCUUCUAUGCUCCUCCUGCUUACGAGGCGGUCCAGCCCGGAGAGAUCAAGGAGAACUGGGCGGUGAGCUAACUGAGAGCUAACUACAUCAGAAGAGGAACCGCCCCAGUCGCCUUCAGUGUCCACAUAGGCCCCUCCUGGAGCAAGUUGUGGGAAGUGAGUCUAGUGAAGACAGAUGGGAUUAGCAGUGAAAAAUCCAAGAGACCUCCGGACGCCUAAGGAGGGAAGCUCUUUUGGGAGACGGGGAAGUGUAGAUAUCCGAUUUCUGACCCCAAACGUUCUGGUAGUACUACAGGAGAGACCGAGAACCAGGGCUGUGGGAAAGAGGUAUGUCUGUAUCUUUGAGCUAGAGUGUGUGCGUUUGGUGGGAUGGAUACUGGGCUGAAGGCAGGGUGUGGGUGUGGUGUUUGCGAUGAAGGGGAAUGGGAGGGAAGCUCAAAGGAUUAUUUGGGAGGGAGCUUGGAGGUGGUUAGGGAAAAUGGCCCAGUUCUAAAGAUUAAU
This 1321-nucleotide long non-coding RNA is filed under the name Homo sapiens (human). RNAcentral describes it as "HSALNT0087168". Lineage: Eukaryota; Metazoa; Chordata; Mammalia; Primates; Hominidae. The record is from RNAcentral.